Molecule: non-coding RNA, 103 nt
Filed under: Paenibacillus darwinianus
Lineage: Bacteria; Bacillati; Bacillota; Bacilli; Caryophanales; Paenibacillaceae
Description: Guanine sequence
Rfam family: Purine riboswitch aptamer
About the family: Riboswitches are metabolite binding domains within certain messenger RNAs that serve as precision sensors for their corresponding targets.
Source: Rfam by way of RNAcentral
CGCGAAGGGUGCGAAACCACUCGUAUAAUACCGGGAAUAUGGCCCGGAAGUUUCUACCCGGGAACCGUUAAAUUUUCGGACUACGAGCCAUGAUAAAGAAACA